GUUUCCAGCAUCUUCCCGUUUUUCUGCCCACGUCUGGUUAUUAUUAUGAGAAAACUGUUCUCGCAAUUCAAUGUAGUUUCUUCCUCAUCCCCACUCUCCCCGUAAUUUCAGCCUUAGCGGUUUUACACCCACGUCUCUGCUCACAUCUUUCAACCAACUGCCGCCAUCCAUUAUAAACCCCCACCUCCACUAUAUCCCUCCUUCAAACCUACAACAUAAAAUUGGCAGUUUAUCAAGGAUAACAGUUUUGGAUUUGGUGGAUAGUUUCUUCCCCAUUCCACUGCCCCAUGAUUCCAGGUCUCCAUCGCUCCUCAACCACUAUAAACCCUACCAACACCUACGCUCUCUUCAAAUCUGAAGCUGAUUGGGCUCAAAUUGAAGGGAAGCCCCAGAUGUAGAUAUGUUCAUCGCAGGACUAAAACAGAGACGUACGAGACAUGCUUGGUUAUUGGCAAGGGUUGUUAGGAGAGCGCUUUCUUCAUUGGUUAUUUUAAUAUCAUUGGCAAUCUAAACCAAUUUUAAGUCAUAGAUCAAUCCAAGGCAUCAUUAUGGGCAUAAUCUUCACUUUUAUUACCUUAAAUGGUUGCACUCUCCAAGCAAAGAAGCUUUUUUACUAAGAAGCUUUUUUACUGGAUGGAUGUAGGAGAAGGUAAAGAAGCGAAUCUUGUCUAAGAGUGUCCAAGAUGAAGACUUCAACAACAAUGCAUCAAAUAUCUCGACACCGUAGAUGUCUUUACCGUUUUCUUGAUUUUCCAUUUUCAUUACAUUCUAACAAAAGUUCUUACCAAGUUUUUUUAGAUUUUAAGUUUUAUAUUUUUUGUAGAUGGAAAGGACAUCUUAUGAAGCAGUGAUCGAAAAUGAGAAACUCUUUCAAACAAAAAAUAUAUUUUCUUUACACAAAAAACGGGGUGUUGAUCGAUACAAUGGGUCAAACAAAAGGUGCUAAGUGCAUCUUUGUUCUUAGUCCAUAGUAGUUGAACGGGGUAUUGCGCCAUUUGUGCACAUAGCGCCCUAUGGCGCUGUGCAACACCGCCCCGAGGGGCGCCAUAUUGUUGAUGCACUUGUGUCUGUACUUUGUCUGUAUUCGGUCUAUAUGUAAAACGAUGUCCUUGUCAGUCCUGUAAGUUGACCAAGUCAACCGUCCUCCUGGUUUGACUUGACCAACAGUUAGAAAUGUUUGUGAAUGUUCUGUGUCGAAGGAUAGCACAUCGAAGGAUAAUGUAGAUCCUUCGAUGGCCUCGAAAGAUAUGUACAAAGGAUAAUGUUGGACUUCGAAGGAUAUGCAAUCCCUCGAAGUAUAUGUAGAUCUUUCGAACACUUUGUCAUCGAUAGAUGAUCCUUCGAUCAUCUAUCGGAUCCUUCGGACAGGACAUGUGGAGCUGGGUAUAUAAAUACCUAUGCAGUGUAUGUGUUAGAGAGACUUGAGAGACUUGUUAGAUAGAUGCACACAUAGAGAGAGUUUGAGAGC
This is a long non-coding RNA of Helianthus annuus (common sunflower), 1468 nucleotides long. RefSeq lists it as uncharacterized. The transcript is spliced from 4 exons. The record is from RefSeq and is a predicted model, not a curated record. NCBI's taxonomy places the organism in Eukaryota, Viridiplantae, Streptophyta, Magnoliopsida, Asterales, Asteraceae.